RNAcentral lists this ribosomal RNA (515 nucleotides) under uncultured bacterium. RNAcentral's name for it is "bacterial SSU rRNA". It matches the Rfam family "Bacterial small subunit ribosomal RNA", at positions 798 to 1317 of the family's 1533-position model. The record is from RNAcentral.
CACAGUAAACGAUGGAUGCCCGCUGUUGGCGACACACUGUCAGCGGCCAAGCGAAAGCGUUAAGCAUCCCACCUGGGGAGUACGCCGGCAACGGUGAAACUCAAAGGAAUUGACGGGGGCCCGCACAAGCGGAGGAACAUGUGGUUUAAUUCGAUGAUACGCGAGGAACCUUACCCGGGCUUGAACUGCAGAGGAAGUAUUGAGAGAUCAUGACGCCCUUCGGGGCCUCUGUGGAGGUGCUGCAUGGUUGUCGUCAGCUCGUGCCGUGAGGUGUCGGCUUAAGUGCCAUAACGAGCGCAACCCCUUCCGUCAGUUGCCAUCACGUAAUGGUGGGCACUCUGGCGGUACUGCCACCGUAAGGUGUGAGGAAGGUGGGGAUGACGUCAAAUCAGCACGGCCCUUACGUCCGGGGCUACACACGUGUUACAAUGGGUGGUACAGAGAGUCGGCCGCAUGCAAAUUCGGUCUAAUCAUGAAAGCCAUCCUCAGUUCGGAUUGGGGUCUGCAACCCGACC